GACGAACGCUGGCGGCGUGCCUAAUACAUGCAAGUAGAACGCUGAAGAGAGGAGCUUGCUCUUCUUGGAUGAGUUGCGAACGGGUGAGUAACGCGUAGGUAACCUGCCUUGUAGCGGGGGAUAACUAUUGGAAACGAUAGCUAAUACCGCAUAACAAUGGAUGACACAUGUCAUUUAUUUGAAAGGGGCAAUUGCUCCACUACAAGAUGGACCUGCGUUGUAUUAGCUAGUAGGUGAGGUAACGGCUCACCUAGGCGACGAUACAUAGCCGACCUGAGAGGGUGAUCGGCCACACUGGGACUGAGACACGGCCCAGACUCCUACGGGAGGCAGCAGUAGGGAAUCAUCGGCAAUGGGGGCAACCCUGACCGAGCAACGCCGCGGGAGUGAAGAAGGUUUUCGGAUCGUAAAGCUCUGUUGUAAGUCAAGAACGAGUGUGAGAGUGGAAAGUUCACACUGUGACGGUAGCUUAACAGAAAGGGACGGCUAACUACGUG
This 497-nucleotide ribosomal RNA is filed under the name uncultured bacterium. Its description in RNAcentral is "partial 16S ribosomal RNA". It matches the Rfam family "Bacterial small subunit ribosomal RNA", at positions 28 to 507 of the family's 1533-position model. The record is from RNAcentral.